RNAcentral lists this ribosomal RNA (440 nucleotides) under uncultured bacterium. RNAcentral's name for it is "partial 16S ribosomal RNA". It matches the Rfam family "Bacterial small subunit ribosomal RNA", at positions 338 to 795 of the family's 1533-position model. The record is from RNAcentral.
CCUACGGGUGGCUGCAGUGGGGGAUAUUGCACAAUGGGGGGAACCCUGAUGCAGCGACGCCGCGUGGGUGAAGGAGCGUUUCGGCGCGUAAAGCCCUAUCGGCAGGGAAGAAGGAGGACGGUACCUGACUAAGAAGCCCCGGCUAACUACGUGCCAGCAGCCGCGGUAAUACGUAGGGGGCAAGCGUUAUCCGGAUUUAUUGGGUUUAAAGGGUGCGCAGGCGGGAGAUCAAGUCAGCGGUAAAAUGUCGGGGCUCAACCCCGGCCGGCCGUUGAAACUGGUUUUCUAGAGUUGGAGAGAAGUAUGCGGAAUUCGUGGUGUAGCGGUGAAAUGCAUAGAUAUCACGAAGAACUCCGAUUGCGAAGGCAGCAUACCGGCUCCAUACUGACGCUGAGGCACGAAAGCGUGGGGAUCGAACAGGAUUAGAUACCCUUGUAGUC